This 293-nucleotide signal recognition particle RNA is filed under the name Pan troglodytes (chimpanzee). It matches the Rfam family "Metazoan signal recognition particle RNA". Rfam says of the family: The signal recognition particle (SRP) is a universally conserved ribonucleoprotein. It is involved in the co-translational targeting of proteins to membranes. The eukaryotic SRP consists of a 300-nucleotide 7S RNA and six proteins: SRPs 72, 68, 54, 19, 14, and 9. The record is from RNAcentral. Lineage: Eukaryota; Metazoa; Chordata; Mammalia; Primates; Hominidae.
GCCGGGCGUGGUGGCGGGCGCCUGUAAUCCCAGCUAAUCGGGAGGCUGAGGCAGGAGAAUGGCGUGAACCCAGGAGGCGGAGCUUGCAGUGAGCCGAGAUGGCGCCACUGCACUCCAGCCUGGGCGACAGAGCGAGACUGUGUCUCAAAAAAAAAAAAAAAAAAAAGAACUUUAUUGCAUUUUUUUUUUUUUUGAGGCAGAGUCUCACUCUGUUGCCCAGGCUGGAGUGCAGUUGCGCGAUCUCGGCUCACUGCAACCUCUGCCUCCUGGGUUCAAGUGAUUCUCCUGUCUCA